Molecule: long non-coding RNA, 907 nt
Filed under: Numida meleagris (helmeted guineafowl)
Lineage: Eukaryota; Metazoa; Chordata; Aves; Galliformes; Numididae
Description: lncRNA (ENSNMEG00000018069.1)
Source: RNAcentral
CCUGGUUUGUGGAAACGCAGCCGGUGCAGUGCUUUGGCACGAGGACACCUGGGUGUGGGGAGAAGACAAUGGGGCAGGGGCACUGAUAGGGCUGCUGGCCACAUGCAGCCUCACCUGGGACCCCCACCCACCCAUGGGCAAGGAUCCCUAUAAGAUCAGUGUCCAGGCACUACACCUGGUUCUGCUUCCUUGAUAGAUGCUGACCUCCCUGCAGCUCUUUCAUGGACUUCUCACCCUGCCAUGGACUUCUCACCCUGCCAUGGACUUCUCACCCUGCCAUGGACCUUGGUGGAAGCCCUUCAAGGAGAAGCGCAUGCUUGAGAAGGAUGGGAAAGUCCAACACCACUUUUACUCCAGGAAAACAAACAAACUACAAAACUUAAUUGCUUUGCAGACAGCAGCUCUUGUGCCAGGGCGGUUUAUCUCAGCAAUAGCAAUCAAGGCUCCUGCUUGGAUGUGGGCAGCUGCUGGGGGGCAGCUAGCAGCGCUCCAAAAAGUCUCCUGGUGUCAGCGGGCAGCUGAGAGUGGGCAAGAGAUGUGCAAGCAGAAGGAUAACAGGGGGAAAGCAGCAGUUUGAAUGCAGCCCAACUCCUGGUCUGCGAGGGCUUGACAUAAGUAUUUAAGCCUUUGGAUGGGAUCUGGUGAUAGCGGAGGGCUGGAAAGCGCGCUGCUUUUGUGGUUAAAAGUCCUUUUGUCGGUCCAUAAAUCCCGAGCGAGCUCUGUUUAUUCUGUUUACUGCAGUUACCCAACCCGUGAGCCGCUGUGUAAAUCAUGGCACGCUGUGAUUUAGAGUGGAGCUGCUCUGCCCGUGGCGUGUGCAGCGUGUCCCUGGCCAGACCCCCACGCAGACGUCCCACUCCUCCAGAAGCCGGCAGAUAAGGGCAAUAAAAGCCACAGCUCUCUCCCA